GUGUCCGUAGUGCAGCGGUCCAGCACUCCCCGGGAGACGGGGCGACGCGGGUUCGAAUCCCGUCGGGCACACCG
RNAcentral lists this transfer RNA (74 nucleotides) under Streptomyces sp. AJS327. RNAcentral's name for it is "tRNA-Leu". It matches the Rfam family "tRNA". Rfam says of the family: Transfer RNA (tRNA) molecules are approximately 80 nucleotides in length. Lineage: Bacteria; Bacillati; Actinomycetota; Actinomycetes; Kitasatosporales; Streptomycetaceae. The record is from RNAcentral.